Orcinus orca (killer whale) is the source of this 892-nucleotide long non-coding RNA. RefSeq lists it as uncharacterized. The transcript has 4 exons. The record is from RefSeq and is a predicted model, not a curated record. Lineage: Eukaryota; Metazoa; Chordata; Mammalia; Artiodactyla; Delphinidae.
GAGGGUUGACUAAAACUACAAAUCCCAGGAAGCCCAGCGGCGCAGCUCGCGCUGUGUGGCGGGAGUGCCCGCCGAAGCUGCGUCUUCCUCGGCUGGUGGAGGGAGCUUUUCGUCGAGUGGGUAUGGCGGUGAUCCUUGUGCUCAAGCUUCGUCGCUACAGAAAGAGACUUAGGCUGGCUUUUCGCAUUUUCCUGUGAGACGCUGCCCCAUUGACAAAUGCAUUCGUUAUAGUUAAGCACCUAGGUUUAAAGAAAAGAAGCUGGCAUGGAGGUUAUUGGGGGAUUUUAAGGGUGGGGAAGAACCCAAGACUACAAAGGAAAUGAAGCCUGGAAAAUCAGUAUGGACUGUUUUGCCAGAGUUUAAAUGACAACUUUUAAAUCAGAACCAUGAACCUAUAGGAGUCCAGUAUAUUCUGAAGUAAUUUGCAUACUAAUGAGCAGCAGCAAGAGAGACAUUUGGUGGACUAAAAAGACCUAAUGAAAAUUAAGAGACACAGGCACUUCCCUGGUGGCACAGUGGUUAAGAAUCCACCUGCCAAUGCAGGGGACAUGGGUUGGAGCCCUGGUCCGGGAAGAUCCCACAUGCUGUGGAGCAACUAAGCCCAUGCGCCACAACUACUGAGCCUGUGCACUGCAACUACUGAAGCCCACGUGCGUAGAGCCAGUGCUCCGCAACAAGAGAAGCCACUGCAAUGAGAAACCCGCGCACUGCAACGAAGAGUAGCCCCCACUCGCAGCAACUAGAGAAAGCCCAAGUGCAGCAACAAAGACCCAACGCAGCCAAAAAAAAAAAAGAAAACUAAGAGACACAACAUUCAGAGCAAUUGGAGGAGAAGAAGAAUGGAUAAUGGAUGGUGGCUGGUGGAAGAGGAGGUAUUCAUUCUUUGGAAGGU